Molecule: ribosomal RNA, 275 nt
Filed under: uncultured bacterium
Lineage: Bacteria
Description: partial 16S ribosomal RNA
Rfam family: Bacterial small subunit ribosomal RNA
Source: RNAcentral
AUACGGAGGGUGCGAGCGUUAAUCGGAAUUACUGGGCGUAAAGCGUGCGUAGGCGGUUAUUUAAGUCAGAUGUGAAAGCCCAGGGCUCAACCUUGGAACUGCAUUUGAAACUGGGUAACUAGAGUUUGGUAGAGGUGAGUAGAAUUCCUAGUGUAGCGGUGAAAUGCGUAGAUAUUAGGAGGAAUACCAGUGGCGAAGGCGGCUCACUGGACCAAAACUGACGCUGAGGUACGAAAGCGUGGGGAGCGAACGGGAUUAGAAACCCUAGUAGUCCC